This 253-nucleotide ribosomal RNA is filed under the name uncultured prokaryote. Its description in RNAcentral is "partial 16S ribosomal RNA". It matches the Rfam family "Bacterial small subunit ribosomal RNA", at positions 525 to 777 of the family's 1533-position model. The record is from RNAcentral.
ACGUAGGGUGCAGGCGUUAAUCGGAAUUACUGGGCGUAAAGCGUGCGCAGGCGGCUCCUUAAGUCAGAUGUGAAAUCCCCGGGCUUAACCUGGGAACUGCGUUUGAAACUGGGGAGCUUGAGUGUGGAAGAGGGGGGUGGAAUUCCAGGUGUAGCAGUGAAAUGCGUAGAGAUCUGGAGGAACACCGGUGGCGAAGGCGGCGUUCUGGACUGCAACUGACACUGAUAAACGAAAGCCAGGGGAGCAAACGGGA